Long non-coding RNA from Sorghum bicolor (sorghum), 382 nucleotides. RefSeq lists it as uncharacterized. NCBI's taxonomy places the organism in Eukaryota, Viridiplantae, Streptophyta, Magnoliopsida, Poales, Poaceae. The record is from RefSeq and is a predicted model, not a curated record. The transcript has 3 exons.
AGGUACUUAAGUGGAUUUCUCAUCCUACAGUAUAUGUCUACAUGGAAUAGACCAUAAGUCACACACAUUUAUACCAUGACCAGACCAGACCAAAGUAUUUUUUGCGAUCCCGCAGUCAGCUUCCAACCCACUGCGGAGCCGAGCCGACCGACGGCGACGACCAACGACGACGACGACGACGACGCUGCCACGGCGCCACCGUCGAGUUUCCUUCGCCCGUGAGCGCUAGGCAUAUCACCCAUAUGCAUGGCAUAUUUCCGCAAUAACGUCCACCUUGUGUUGUUGCUGCUGCUCGUCGUUGUUCAAGCGCCCAAGCUACAUGGCAUCGACGUGACUGAUGAGAUGUAAGUGUCAAUAUAUACAAAAUGCAUGCCUUCUUCCA